Molecule: long non-coding RNA, 418 nt
Organism: Prunus avium (sweet cherry)
Lineage: Eukaryota; Viridiplantae; Streptophyta; Magnoliopsida; Rosales; Rosaceae
Source: RefSeq, a predicted model, not a curated record
GCACGUUCUAUUGAAAUAGGAUUAAGGAUUUAAAAAAGAAAACUGAAAAGAAAACUGAAACGGUCGAAAACCCACCACGACCCUCAAACUUGGAACACUUUUCCUCACUCACCCAUGUUUUGCAGAGCAAGAAUCCUCAUCUACUCACUGCAUAAUAGUAAGGGGGCAAACGGAUUCAGCAUCACCAAUUGUAGAAAGUGGACGAGGAUUAACUCUUCCACUGAUCGAUUAUACUAAUUCAGUUCUGUAUUUCGUACAAAAAGUGAGGAAGAUUGAAGGAAAAAGAACUUCAGCAAUCAAUAUAGGGAGCAAGAAUCCUCAUCUACUCACUGCAUAAAAAGGGAGGAAGAUUGAAGGAAAAAGAACUGGAGCAAUCAAUAUUGGAACCCCCAGUCUGCUCAUCAAUCUGGUAGUUCAU